UACAGAGGUCCCGAGCGUUGUUCGGAUUCAUUGGGCGUAAAGGGUGCGUAGGCGGCGGGGAAAGUCUGAUGUGAAAUCCUGGGGCUCAACCCUGGAACUGCAUUGGAUACUUCCUUGCUAGAGUACUGGAGAGGAAACUGGAAUUUACGGUGUAGCAGUGAAAUGCGUAGAGAUCGUAAGGAAGACCAGUGGCGAAGGCGGGUCUCUGGACAGUUCCUGACACUGAGGCACGAAGGCCAGGGGGAGUCAAACGGG
This 255-nucleotide ribosomal RNA is filed under the name uncultured bacterium. RNAcentral describes it as "partial 16S ribosomal RNA". It matches the Rfam family "Bacterial small subunit ribosomal RNA", at positions 524 to 776 of the family's 1533-position model. The record is from RNAcentral.